This 431-nucleotide ribosomal RNA is filed under the name uncultured bacterium. RNAcentral describes it as "partial 16S ribosomal RNA". It matches the Rfam family "Bacterial small subunit ribosomal RNA", at positions 29 to 507 of the family's 1533-position model. The record is from RNAcentral.
AGCGAACGCUGGCGGCAGGCUUAACACAUGCAAGUCGAGCGCCCCGCAAGGGGAGCGGCAGACGGGAGAGUAACACGUGGGAACAUACCUUUUGGUUCGGAACAACUGAGGGAAACUUCAGCUAAUACCGGAUAAGCCCUUACGGGGAAAGAUUUAUCGUCGAAAGAUUGGCCCGCGUCUGAUUAGCUAGUUGGUGAGGUAACGGCUCACCAAGGCGACGAUCAGUAGCUGGUCUGAGAGGAUGAUCAGCCUCACUGGGACUGAGACACGGCCCAGACUCCUACGGGAGGCAGCAGUGGGGAAUAUUGGACAAUGGGGGCAACCCUGAUCCAGCCAUGCCGCGUGAGUGAUGAAGGCCUUAGGGUUGUAAAGCUCUUUUGCCCGGGAAGAUAAUGACGGUACCGGGAGAAUAAGCCCCGGCUAACUUCGUG